UCCUACGGGAGGCAGCAGUCGGGAAUUUUGCUCAAUGGGCGCAACCCUGAUCCAGCAAUGCCGCGUGAGUGAUGAAGGCCUUAGGGUUGUAAAGCUCUUUUGGCAGGGACGAUGAUGACGGUACCUGCAGAAUAAGCCCCGGCUAACUACGUGCCAGCAGCCGCGGUAAUA
This 171-nucleotide ribosomal RNA is filed under the name uncultured Alphaproteobacteria bacterium. RNAcentral's name for it is "partial 16S ribosomal RNA". It matches the Rfam family "Bacterial small subunit ribosomal RNA", at positions 337 to 525 of the family's 1533-position model. Lineage: Bacteria; Pseudomonadati; Pseudomonadota; Alphaproteobacteria. The record is from RNAcentral.